GACGUAGGGGGCGAGCGUUGUCCGGAUUUAUUGGGCGUAAAGAGCUCGUAGGCGGCUCAGAAAGUCGGGUGUGAAACCUCCAGGCUCAACCUGGAGACGCCACCUGAUACUGCUGUGGCUAGAGUCCGGUAGGGGAACACGGAAUACCCGGUGUAGCGGUGAAAUGCUUAGAUAUCGGGUGGAACACCAGUGGCGAAGGCGGUGUUCUGGGCCGGAACUGACGCUGAGGAGCGAAAGCGUGGGGAGCGAACAGG
This 254-nucleotide ribosomal RNA is filed under the name uncultured bacterium. RNAcentral's name for it is "partial 16S ribosomal RNA". It matches the Rfam family "Bacterial small subunit ribosomal RNA", at positions 524 to 776 of the family's 1533-position model. The record is from RNAcentral.